UACAGAGGGUGCGAGCGUUAAUCGGAAUUACUGGGCGUAAAGCGUGCGUAGACGGUUAUUUAAGUCGGGUGUGAAAGCCCCGGGCUCAACCUGGGAAUUGCAUUCGAGACUGAAUAGCUAGGGUACGGUAGAGGGAAGUGGAAUUUCCGGUGUAGCGGUGAAAUGCGUAGAUAUCGUUUGGAACGCCAACGGUGAAAACAGACAGCUGGGAGUGUGCUGACGCUGAGACACGAAAGCCAGGGGAGCGAACGGG
This 253-nucleotide ribosomal RNA is filed under the name uncultured bacterium. RNAcentral's name for it is "partial 16S ribosomal RNA". It matches the Rfam family "Bacterial small subunit ribosomal RNA", at positions 524 to 776 of the family's 1533-position model. The record is from RNAcentral.